ACGUAGGGGGCAAGCGUUGUCCGGAUUUACUGGGCGUAAAGAGCUCGUAGGCGGCUCGGUAAGUUGGGUGUGAAAACUCCAGGCUCAACCUGGAGAGGCCACUCAAUACUGCCGUGGCUAGAGUUCGGUAGAGGAUCGUGGAAUUUCUGGUGUAGCGGUGAAAUGCGCAGAUAUCAGAAGGAACACCAACGGCGAAGGCAGCGAUCUGGGCCGAUACUGACGCUGAGGAGCGAAAGCAUGGGGAGCAAACAGG
Molecule: ribosomal RNA, 253 nt
Filed under: uncultured bacterium
Lineage: Bacteria
Description: partial 16S ribosomal RNA
Rfam family: Bacterial small subunit ribosomal RNA
Source: RNAcentral